RNAcentral lists this ribosomal RNA (252 nucleotides) under uncultured bacterium. RNAcentral describes it as "partial 16S ribosomal RNA". It matches the Rfam family "Bacterial small subunit ribosomal RNA", at positions 524 to 776 of the family's 1533-position model. The record is from RNAcentral.
UACGUAGGGUGCAAGCGUUAAUCGGAAUUACUGGGCGUAAGCGUGCGCAGGCGGUGAUGUAAGACAGGUGUGAAAUCCCCGGGCUUAACCUGGGAACUGCAUUUGUGACUGCAUCGCUGGAGUGCGGCAGAGGGGGAUGGAAUUCCGCGUGUAGCAGUGAAAUGCGUAGAUAUGCGGAGGAACACCGAUGGCGAAGGCAAUCCCCUGGGCCUGCACUGACGCUCAUGCACGAAAGCGUGGGGAGCAAACAGG